This 116-nucleotide ribosomal RNA is filed under the name Escherichia coli. Lineage: Bacteria; Pseudomonadati; Pseudomonadota; Gammaproteobacteria; Enterobacterales; Enterobacteriaceae. The record is from RNAcentral.
CCUGGCGGNNNUAGCGCGGUGGUCCCACCUGACCCCAUGCCGAACUCAGAAGUGAAACGCCGUAGCGCCGAUGGUAGUGUGGGGUCUCCCCAUGCGAGAGUAGGGAACUGCCAGGC